GUGAAUCAUCGAAUCUUUGAACGCAAAUUGCGCUCGAGGCUUCGGCCGAGAGCAUGCCUGCCUCAGUGUCGGUUUCACCCUCGCCCACCCUCUCUCCCUUUUUCUAACGAAAGAGAGAGAGAGGGGAGCGGAUCUGGCCGUCCCGGUCUCACGACCGGGUCUGCUAAAGCGCAGAGGCUUGAGCGGGAUCCCUUCUAAUGUGGGAACAACAGACCGGUAGGUGAGCCCUUCUCCCCGGAGAAGGAUCGCAUGCCGCUGCUGGACCCCGGGACCCGCUGGACGCCCAGCAGGAGACGGCGU
This 300-nucleotide unclassified non-coding RNA is filed under the name uncultured fungus. RNAcentral's name for it is "sequence contains 5.8S rRNA gene, ITS2". The stretch from base 1 to 71 matches the Rfam family "5.8S ribosomal RNA", at positions 84 to 154 of the family's 154-position model. Lineage: Eukaryota; Fungi. The record is from RNAcentral.